AGUAACACACCUUUUUUUAUUAAAAUAAACAACUUUAGUUAUUCUUAGAACCUUAAAUAGUUGUGUUUGGGCUUAAUUAUAAUAAAGCUCGUCAGACGUUUUCCUGCUCCACCUUAAAUCGUGCAGCAAUGGCUUACUGACAUUGACAUAUUUAAGCACUGUUUAAGGUGGAGUGGGAAAUACAAAGAAGCUGGCCAAAAGUAAAAAAAGAAAAAAAAAGUAAUUAUAAAUUUUAUAAUUUGUUAUAAACACAACUAAGUUACUGUCAAUAAAAAUAUGAGGCUGCAUUUAACUUAUUAUUUUCCAGCAUAAACUUUUCCAUUCCACCUUAAAUUUAUUCUCACGUCGUGGCGCACGAAGGAGCUGGCCAGUGUCCAUAUCAGCAAAAUGUGAAUCUUUAGAAUAAUAAUUGGGUAAUAUUUGCUAGCCUAAAUCAGCAUAUGUGUAGUAAUAUUAAACAAUAUCUGUUCUGAUUUCAACUUAAAAACACCUGUUCAAAGUUACUACAAUAUAUUAAUUAUAUGCAUUUGCUUAGUAGGGCUGCUGAGGGCUGGGGACCUGAGAUAAGGUGUAAUCAUUUACCCAUCAAAUCACCUAACAAGGAUCAGCCUGGAUCCUAACAGUACUUGAUGCACUGAGCAGUGACAUUAUACAUAGAGUAGUUAAGCAGGAUUUGGUAUCCGCAAAAUGGUUCGAGGUCCUCAGCCCUCGCCUCCCCCAGCACAGAGGAAAACUACCAAGGGCAGUACUCUCAUUAUAGGAGAUUCAAUUGUUAGACAUUUAAAAGUAUCUAAGAGUAAUGGCACAAUUUCAUGUCUUCCAGAUGCUUGCAUGCUGGUAGUCGGCAAGCGGCUCCCUGGGGCGCAUUGCCAAAGCAGGAACCCCGGCACCAUCGCCCUCCACGUGGGGAUGAGCUUUCGGGAGCGACCGGCCCCGUUCCACAGAGACAGGCUUCUCUCUGUGAACAUCGAGGCGGUGCUACGCUGAGACUGACUGUCUCUACCCAGUCACACCAGCCAAGCUGCACUGUAGUGGUGUUAAGUGUCCAAGAAUGCUCUCAUCAGUGGAGGCACAGCUGGCUGCAAAAAACGUCUGUGUCUGCAUGUUUAUAUUAUGUGAAUUAAAAAUGGUUUUAUUAUUAAAAUAAUUGUAUUAAUGCCUGUUGAUUUAUAAAUUGUUUAAUUGAAAUCAAAUUUUAUUUAAGUAGCUUAAUUAAGUAUUGCAUUUAUAACUGAUGGUAUUUUAUUUAAUUAGCUUAAGUAUUGCAUUUAUAAGUGAUGGUAUUUUAUUUUAAUUA
Molecule: long non-coding RNA, 1297 nt
Organism: Astyanax mexicanus (Mexican tetra)
Lineage: Eukaryota; Metazoa; Chordata; Actinopteri; Characiformes; Acestrorhamphidae
Exons: 5
Source: RefSeq, a predicted model, not a curated record